ACUCCUACGGGAGGCAGCAGUAGGGAAUCUUCCACAAUGGGCGCAAGCCUGAUGGAGCAACACCGCGUGAGUGAAGAAGGGUUUCGGCUCGUAAAGCUCUGUUGUUAAAGAAGAACACGUAUGAGAGUAACUGUUCAUACGUUGACGGUAUUUAACCAGAAAGUCACGGCUAACUACGUGCCAGCAGCCGCGGUAAUACGUAGGUGGCAAGCGUUAUCCGGAUUUAUUGGGGCGUAAAGAGAGUGCAGGCGGUUUUCUAAGUCUGAUGUGAAAGCCUUCGGCUUAACCGGAGAAGUGCAUCGGAAACUGGAUAACUUGAGUGCAGAAGAGGGUAGUGGAACUCCAUGUGUAGCGGUGGAAUGCGUAGAUAUAUGGAAGAACACCAGUGGCGAAGGCGGCUACCUGGUCUGCAACUGACGCUGAGACUCGAAAGCAUGGGUAGCGAACAGGAUUAGAUACCCUGGUAGGAUAGAG
Molecule: ribosomal RNA, 474 nt
Filed under: uncultured bacterium
Lineage: Bacteria
Description: bacterial SSU rRNA
Rfam family: Bacterial small subunit ribosomal RNA
Source: RNAcentral